This 673-nucleotide ribosomal RNA is filed under the name uncultured bacterium. Its description in RNAcentral is "bacterial SSU rRNA". It matches the Rfam family "Bacterial small subunit ribosomal RNA", at positions 133 to 822 of the family's 1533-position model. The record is from RNAcentral.
AUACUGGGGGAUAACACUUAGAAAUAGGUGCUAAUACCGCAUAAGCGCACAGCUUCGCAUGAAGCAGUGUGAAAAACUCCGGUGGUAUACGAUGGAUCCGCGUCUGAUUAGCUGGUUGGCGGGGUAACAGCCCACCAAGGCGACGAUCAGUAGCCGGCCUGAGAGGGUGAACGGCCACAUUGGGACUGAGACACGGCCCAAACUCCUACGGGAGGCAGCAGUGGGGAAUAUUGCACAAUGGGGGAAACCCUGAUCCAGCGACGCCGCGUGAGUGAAGAAGUAUUUCGGUAUGUAAAGCUCUAUCAGCAGGGAAGAAAGAAAUGACGGUACCUGAGUAAGAAGCCCCGGCUAACUACGUGCCAGCAGCCGCGGUAAUACGUAGGGGGCAAGCGUUAUCCGGAAUUACUGGGUGUAAAGGGAGCGUAGUCGGUAAUGCAAGUCUGGAGUGAAAGGCGGGGGCCCAACCCCCGGACUGCUCUGGAAACUGUGUAACUGGAGUGCAGGAGAGGCAGGCGGAAUUCCUAGUGUAGCGGUGAAAUGCGUAGAUAUUAGGAGGAACACCAGUGGCGAAGGCGGCUUACUGGACUGUAACUGACGUUGAGGCUCGAAAGCGUGGGAGCAAACAGGAUUAGAUACUCCUGGUAGUCCACGCCGUAACGAUGAUCACUAGGUG